UUCUGUACACACGCAAACACACACACACUGCAGACAGGCAGAGAGAUAAGUUGGGAGCUGGAAGUUUGAAGAAAACUUUACUGUACUUUGGAUGCACUGUUACACCUGCCCAGGAUAAACCAAAUUUUUUUUUUUUUUAGAGCCUCAGUAAUGCUACUGUGGACCACGUGGUCACAGGUCUCCAGCAAUCCCUCAUUUGGAUGCUCCAUAGAUGAAUGAAUUACCUUUGUCCUUUGCUUUGUGGACUCCAUAUCAAUAAUGUUGGGCCACUUGAGCAUCUUGAGCGAGAGAUAGAGAGCAGAGGUGACACCAGUGCUGAGGUGAGUUUUACACAAAUCUUGCAUGUCAGCCGUUCACAUGAAAACAAAGACACACGCUUAACCUCCCUUCAAAGCGUUGCUCUUACUGUUGCUCAUUCAUGCCCAGCGGAUGACACACACAGCAUGCAAACCUGCAACAAUUCAAUAAACUUAUGCACAGCUUUUCUCAUCCACACGCUGUGACUAAACCUCGCUUUCGUCUCAUAUUCACAGCACACUGCUCCUCUACACUGUCAGUUAACCCUGCAAUUAACCUGCACCUCAGCCAAACAUCAUUAGGGAGAGAGAGACGAGAGACCAGGACUGAGAAAGAUGAGAAAUAGAUUACUGGAGAGAGAGAAAUAGUGACACGGAUAUAUGGGAGAUUUUACCAUUAAAAAGCCACAAAUCACCAAAGUAAGUUUUUAAAAUUUUUUUUUGUGUUUUUCUCUACCCAACGCAGAUCCUUUUUCCGUUGUCCUGGAUGCAUCACAUUAUAUAUAUAUCCUUUUAAAAAAUGGAGUAUGCAGGAUAAAGCUACACUAACCAUAUAGCAUCACCCCAUGACCUCUCCCAUCCCCCCACACUUUUUUUGUACUCAUUUUUUUUUUGCGGGGGGUAGGCCCCAGUAGAGAGGUUUGGGCGUUGGAGCAUCAGAGAGGUUUUGCAUACAGCUGUAUUCAAGUCAGAGGCGAUUCUGCUGACAAACUGAUGGAGGACUGUUUUGGACAAAAAAUAUGGUCAAACCCAACAGUUUAGAUAAUGUAAUACACGGCAUCGUCUAAAUAACCUGCAUGUUGGAACUGAUUUAACACAGAAAAUCAGAAGGUUGGUCUUUUAGCGAAAUGGUGGAAGUUAAACCCUAAAACGGUGAGGGUGCUGACCUUUAAAGAUCUCUGUUGCGUGUUGUCGGAGCUGCUUCCAUGGAAUAUGAGGAUGUGCAAAAAAUGUAAUCGAUUUAUCCCAAAACGCUUUUAUUCUGGAAUUGUACCGAAGGGUAAUCAGGGGUACUGAACACUCAAACAGUGCCAAAUACUCCGGUUAUUUUAAGAUUUAUUGCAGAAACGCACUGCCUGUUUGGUUUGCUUGAAAUAUUAUUUAUAGAUAUUACAUUUUCAAACAAACUACUAAAUAAGCCUCUUUUUUGAAUAAAUGUUGCUAUAAAUCCCAUAAACUUUACCUAAUUUCAUAUCCUAAAUAACCUCGAUGAUAAUAAUGCAGCUGCAGAUAAGGUUGAUGAGGUCGUAUACUGAGGUUAUGGUUCAGCCAUUGUUUUCCUCCCCGUUGAUGCGGUCCUUAUGCUGGUACAGUGCGGUGCACAUUGUGUCUAGUGGGCAUUGUGGAGUAUCUGGGGGAACUGUUUAGUCCCCCAUAAGAAGAUUAGAGAUGAUUGGUUUUAUUGACCGGCCUAUGCUGCGGUUAUCAGGGCGACUCUCAGAGCACGGAGCCACGCUUUUGUCUGGCCCUUAUUGUUCUUCCCAGCCCAAGACCCUGCACUGAUAUGAAUUUGAUAUGACAGUAAAGUGCCAAUUAUGUACAUACAUACAAGGCUCCGCUCCUUUUCGGCUCUACGUGGAGUGAAAAGACAGCGAGGUGAGGAAGAGAAGGGAGGAGAGAUAAGGUGAGGGAAUAUCUUGAAGGGUUAGCGGGCAAGUCUUGAGGAUAAUUUGCUGCGAGAAUCCGGAGUCUGUUAUUUUCUCGAUUCCCAUAUUGUCAAUAAAACGGUGACAUUGAAACAUUGAUGAGCGAUAAAGAGGCUGCAUCUGUGUGUGUGUGUGUGUGUGUGUGUGUGUGUGUGUGUGUGUGUGUGUGUGUGUGUGUGUGUGUGUGUGUGUGUGUGUGUGUGUGUGUGUGUGUGUGUGUGUGUGUGUGUGUGUGUGUGUGUGUGUGUGUGUGUGUGUGUGUGUCUGUGUGUGUCUGUGUGUGUCUGUGUGUGUGUGUGUGUGUGUGUGUGUGUCUGUCUGUAUUUUUUUUCUGACCAGCAGGCCUGUCAUAUCUUAUCACCAUCAGCUGCAUCUGUGAUGAACUGAUUAUUGUGAUCAGUUGAAAGGUUACAAAGACGACUAUUGCAGCGGUUUCAUAUUAAGGCACUCAGAGGAGAGGAUUUUAUUUUCUUUGAUUCACCUGUUAGAUUUACUGAUUAUUUAUUGCACCUCAGUUAUUGCAGUCAUCCAUUUGACAAUGGGUACAUAAACCCAUCUCAGAUUUGUCUUAACAUAAAUAUAAAUUAGAUACAUUUCACCUAACAUGCAUUAUACUGAACUGAAAGCAUCAUGACAUAAACAGCAGCUUGCACUUGUAUGCGAGUGUGUGUAUGUUUACAUGUGUAUUUGUGUACUCGAAUUGGUCUGCCAUUUGAAAUCAAAGUUGGAAACGGUGUGUAAGUCCAUUUCUAAUUCCCUUUUAUUCCCCCUCUUCCUUUUCUCCCUCUUUUAUGUACUUGUCUUGGAAAAAAGGUGUUAAAUCAUCUAAAUCAUUCCCUGGCUAUUAUAUCCAAUUAAUGCCUCCUCAUGGUGUUUUAUUGUGUUAUAAACUGCUAUUGCUUGUGGUUCAGUAGACAAACACAAUGUGUGUCUGUGCCGCCUGCCACCGGGGCUGGCUGUGGCUGUGCUGGGGAGGGACAGAGGGGGACUUGGCCACUGCCCAUGGGGGCCCUGGCCACUCUAAAUCAGUUAGUUUUGGAGGAGAUCCUAGUCGGCUUUUUAAGAGGGUCCAUUAUAGGCUUGUUAAUGCCUCAGCCGAGGGGGAAACACUACUAACUGCACUCAAUUCUCUAUGCACUCAGUCUCCUUCUCACUCACUCGCCCAAACACAUACACCUACGAACACACACACACACACACACACACACACACACACACACACACACACACACACACACACACACACACACACACACACACACACGCCUUCUUCUCCCUACUUGCUUCUCCUUCGCUGUGUGUUUCUCCUGAGAUGUGUGAGUGACUGUGUGUUGUCUUCUCUCUACAUCCACUGUGUUUUCCAUUCACAUGACACACCCAUCUCUGCCUCUGUCUCCUGUUCAUGAAUUUCAUGGAUUUGGCCUUCACUGAAAGCAGCACGAUAUCACAAAGUCUACCCAUUUCCGCCAUUGAUGCUUCCAGUGUGCUGCGAGUCUGAAUGUGCUCUUUUUUAUCCAUGCAUGUGUGCAGCUAUGACCAUCCAUGUGCGAGUGUGUGUGUGCAGUGUGUAAAAUGUGUUAAGCAGAUUGAGUGGUUUCUUUGAAGAUGUAUUUUGGAGCCUAGAGGGGGAUUCUGGAGUGUGUUAUUGCAUAUUUAGGACAGUGUGUGAGGGUCUUUUGAGAGAGUAUGUGUGUGUGAAAUUUUAAUUCACACUAUAAGUGUGAAGCGGCUUAGUUCAUUUAUCACUGAGAGGAGAUACCCAGAGAGCUGUUUCAACUCCCCAUAGGUUCUCUGUCACACCAAGCUCUGGAGGAGCCUAACUAGCCGCAAAACCCAAAACUACUAAGUUCAUCAAGGAACAACUGCCUGUUGGUAAUUCCAGUUCCCACUAUUAUUCUGCAGCAUUUUCCUGCUGCUUUAUGUCAAAUUCUGUACAUUUCUUCUCGGGCAAAAUGGUCACGGUUGCUUUGUUCUGCUCAUGGUGGAGCUAUAGGCACCAAUAUUGCCACACCUGAGGUGCAAGCUAAUGUCCACCAUCUCCGCAUUCUGAACUGUCGUCAAGGAAAGGUGCCUCUCGGUCGCCCUGGAAACCAUUCCUCCCAGCAUGCUUUGUGUGAGUGACAGGAGGAAGGUGUAACAGAGUAAGAGCUUUGUGUGAAUGGACGUCUUGUGAGCUGGACAAGCAACUAAAUCCUUUUCUAUUCACCCACAUCACCUAAAUGUUACUGCUUCCUUCGCAUGUUUUCACUUUCUGAAAACAAUAUUAUCGUUAUUAUUAACUGUAGUUUAUGCUGUCUGAUCUGCAGAGUCACUCUGUCCAAAGCAAAUGGAAAGACUUAAAGAAACUGCAAUUAUCUUGUUCUUCUCAUGUUCAAAUUCUUAUUCUCGGGGAUAAGAAGUGCAAAUUUUCUACGACAAUAGCUUCAACAUAAUUUUGCUGUUGAGGGGAAUGAGCAGGAUAAGUGGCUGCCAUGAUUGGUUACAGCAGUGGCAGCCUGUGUUCAUCUCACUCCCCUCUGUGCUCGCUCAGGCGAGACACUCCGAGUGUGUGUCCUCCUUGGAGAAGACAUGCGUGUCCCUGCGUUUGUGUCCAGAGCACGCAAGUCUAUUUUCUCCUCUGAAUAAGUGCAAUCCGAAGGUCGCAUUGGAUCAGAUUGUCUCUGUAUAUUGUUGUAUGUAAGUGUUUAUGUUGCGUGCAUUGUGUGUGGAUUGUUGAUCCAAGUAUGCAAGGCGAGGUUAAGAACACAGCUUGCACAAAAUACAUGCGUGUAUGCAAGUGUGUUGGAGUCUCUGCACUGACAUCCAUACAAUCAACUCCUUUCAGAUCUUUUUGUGUGUGUGUGCAUGUGUGUGUGUGUGUGUGUGGAUAUGUGUGUGUCUGUCUGUGCAGGGUUCAGUCUCAGAAGCCUGAUAAAGUCUGAAACCAAUAACUGAUAAAGUAUCACACAGGAGGCUGUGCUGUCCAGAGAGGACCUGGAAACAGACCUUUUCCUGAACACUGACCAGAUAAGCAAAAUCUGAAAUAACUGACUCCAGGGAGCACCUGUCAGGUCUUACUGAUACAUAGCUUAACUCUCAGUGCAGUUUCAGUUUUUGCGGGGCUUUGCACAUCCUUGUUUUGAUUUUUUUUUUUUUAUCAGUAAAAGCAAUUCUAGCACAAAUAUGUUGCACAUUUCGUGCAAACACGCAACUCAAGGUAGAAUAUUUCUUACUACAUUCAUCAGUGACGACACUGUGACACUAACAGUAUGUAAAUAAACAGCAUCCGCAAAAAUCCACAAGUAAUGAUACUAUUUGCUGCAGGUCUCUCUUGAUUACAUCAAUAUAAUCUGACCUGUAUCCCUCCAUCCUCCCACUGUCACCGAAAACAUGCCCUUCUAAUCUCCCAUAGCUGUUGAUGGGGUGACUGGAAACUUUAACAGUAAACAGACUUCAGCUUCUCACCCUCCCAAAGCCACGUUUGAGAAAGUUUUUAACACGCUCCAUUAAUCACAAAUCCCCCAAUCCCUGCAUCCACACAUUUUCUCACCCCAUUAUCAUUAUCACCAUCUUAUCAUCACUUUGUCAUUAGCUGCAUCUAACUGUGAUGGUGCCUGUGUUGCUGUCUUUACUCCAGUCUGCGCUCUGCCUUUAAAUAUUUCCUAUUAGGGUUGUGAUUAUAGUGGCGGCUGCAUUAGGUGUGAUGUUGCCAUCUCAAACAUACAUUUCAUGACACACAUUGGAUGCUUUGUCAGUUGUUGAUCUGAUGGAAAGAAUAAUCUUUGAACAAACAUGACUCUAUAUCCCUGAACAGACCCCAAGCUAUUUUUGUAUUCCUUUGAUCUUCGCCUUUUCUCCUAAUUUUGGUUUAAACCUGUUCAUCUAACCAGCCAGGGUUUUUCUCAUUGAGCCUGUUCCUGUCUUUCUGACCUCUUACUUAUUUUUUCCUUUCGUCCAUUUUUAGUGUCCUCGUGCAUUCUGUUUUUUUCUUGCCCAUUAGCCUACUUUAUCCUCCUCUCCUCUCCUCUCCUCUCCUCUCCUCUCCUCUCCUCUCCUCUCCUCUCCUCUCCUCUCCUCUCCUCUCCUCUCCUCUCCUCUCCUCUCCUCUCCUCUCCUCUCCUCUCCUCUCCUCUCCUCUCCUCUCCUCUCUAUCCUGCAUGCCUCAGCAGCCUCUCCUUCCUGUCUGUCUGUGUUGGCAUGAGCCUCCCUGGCUCUGCCCCCGCCUGCCGCACUUUAUGCUGAUUGGACCAGCUGUUCCACUUAAAUUCACCAUGGCAACCACAACCUGUCGCCUAGCAACCCUGCUCUUCUCCCUGAUUCCUGCCAGUGUUCUCCACAGGCAGAGGGAGAGAGAAAGGGAGAAGAAGAGAUUGAAAAUUCCCUCAGAUUUUUUUUUUUGGUUUUUUUGGUGCAUGUGUGUGUACGUGCGCAUAUGUUUGUGUGUGUUACACAUGGCUAUGUUUGGCUCCUCUUCUGUGAGUCAGAAGGAAAUGUGUAGAGUGUGCUGAUGAGAUGGUUAAAUGCAGCCUGUGUUUGCAUGUAGGCCAGAGGGACCUUCAGAUAACUCAGAGUACGCUGGCAGGCAUAGAUGUAUGCGCCAAAUUAAGGUUUGCGUGUGUGUGUUUGUGUGUGUCUUCUUGUCUCCCGUUGACUGGACUUGUUCUCUCAGGCGUGAUGAGAGCAAGGGUACAUGCAAGCUCAUGCUAAAGAAUUCAUGGCACUGCUGCUCUCAGAGGCCCCACUGUCAGAGUAGCCUCAUGGCCCAAGCAUACUAAUCAGAAAUACUGGAUAGAUGGACCCACACACAUACACACACAUACACACACACGCACGCACACACACACACAUACACUCACCCUUAAACACCAAAAUGGCCUGAGUAGGCACUCUGUUUCAGGAUGUUGUUAUCCACCUAUAUUGCCCAGGGAAGAUUACCCACCUGCUAAUAGACUUUUCCUGCAGCCUGGGAACCAGUCCCAUGCCCAGGUAAUCCCACAGCUCAUCCGUAGCAUGUGAACUCUUGUCCAGGGGAGAACACCGGGCGAGAGCAACAAGCUCCCCUUUACCCCUCAUAAUUGGAUCUCAUACGAGUCCAAAGUUGCUAACUGGUUUGUUCUCAACUUCGCUUCUGCAUCGCAUAGAGAUUAAAGACCUCUACUGAGCCACCAGUGAGCUGCUUCUGUACAAGAAAUGUAACAAGUGUUGUUUGCCUUCUGCACAGUCCCAGUGUGUAUUUUUGGUGAGCACAUACACAUAAUUAAUUAUGACUUUAUUUUAAUGUGUGUUCAGCUGCCUAGUCAACUCUGCGGAGAUUUUAGCCCGGCUUGCUAAUUAAUCUGUGCAACUAAAACAUAGGCAAACAUGGAUCGUUCUGAUUUCCAAUUUUCUCUAAACAUAUAAUGUGCUGUCAAUUUCUGUCCCGCAGAAUUAUUAUUGUAUAGACUUAUGGAUCUCAAGGCCUCUGUACAAUGUGCAGUUUUUGCCCGUCUGAGCACUCUGAAAUCUUUAAUCGUCCUAGAUUACAAUAUGAGACAAGUUAACCGGCGGAGGAUUUGGAGCUUGGGUGACCAAAGAUAACCUGUGGCAAAAAUUGGAAAGUGUCAGAAAUUUAAGACCAGAUUCUCACUGUGUGAUUGAUGCUACAUCUAAUGUCCUCAAACUAUUGAUUCAACCAUCCAUUAGCCACACCUGCUUUAUCCUUUUUGUCAGUUUAAGCCUGUACCAGCUGACAUUGAGUGAGAGGUGGGGAACACCCUGGACACUCUGCAGGGCGAACACAAACAGGCGGACAGUCAUAUAUGUUUGCAUCUGACUAUACUAGAAAGCUGAAUUCCACAGGAAGCAUGCAAACUUUAUGCAGAAAGACCACACCCGACCAACAGGUUCGAAUCCAGAACCUUCUUCAGUGUGCUAACUACUGCAAUGCUCUGCCUGCACGCCAACCAAUCAGAAUACUAGGUGAAAGGCCUUGUGAUAUCCCAAGUGAUGCAACGUGAUGUAGUGCCACAGCAAAACAUUUGCAAAAACACAAACCAAAAAGAUGAAGGUGAAAUGAAUAAAAAGUCGUGUCUGACAAAGAAUAAAACCAUGUGGAGCUACAUUUUCAGAACCUCAAAGCAGCACACAUAGAUGACAUGAGCUGAAAUUGUGCCUCUGCUCUCAUGUACCUCUUUCUAUUUACAUUGUACUGCUACAAUUCACCAAGCAUUUGUUGUGCAAUCUGACAUGCCUCAAAUUGAUAUAGCACAGCCUGGCACAGAAUAAGACCAAGAUUUUAUUAGAGUUAUCUCGCAGUGUGACAUGAAAUGUAAUUUCACAAUUCUCCUCGUUGCACAAUCUGAAGGGACUUUUAAGUAGAUUUAAGUGCCUUUGUAAGGUGCAGGGUUGAGAAAAAGCUCCAGAAUUUCCUCAGCACUUCUUAGCAUAUAUCUCUAAAUCUAAAACUCAUUUCAUAACUUCUAUUUUCCCAAAUUUGGUGUUUGAGUGCUGUCUAAUGUGAUUGUAUAAGAUCUCCCUGAGGUGUUCUUUUGUUAAGAUUGUUUGUUUUCCCUCAUUUGUCCAAUUUAUUUGUGUCCUAUGUAUUCUGCCACUGUUAAUAUGUCCAGUUCUCUUUUGGAUAAACUACCAGAUGGAUUACCAUCGAAUUAUGUACAGUCAAUAUACAGUAUCUAUAUAUGCACCACAUCACAAAAGUAAAUGCAGAGUAAAUGUGGUUUGUUCCUAGUUUCUAUCGACCUUUUUGCUGUUGUAGCUCUAGUUCGCCAUCAUUUUCUCAAAUAUUAAGUUAUAAUUUAAAAACAUUACUUGUGAGGUAAAGUGUAACACUGAUCCACUAUAGAGAUUACUGCUGACAUGCAAGAAUGAAGUCCUUCCUCUAGAAGCAGCACCUUGAGGCUCAACUGAAGUUUGCUACUCAUCACUUGGACAAAGAAAAAACCUUCUGGAGCAAAGUUCUGUGGUCAGAAGAAUUGACAAUUAAGCUGUUUGACCACGAUGUCCAGCAAUGUUUGGAGGAGAGAAAGUGAGGCCUUUAACCCCAAGAACAUUAAAGCCACCAUCAAGCAUGGUGAUGGCAGUAUUAUGCUCUGGGACUGUUUUGCUGACAGUAGAAUUGGUGCUUUACACAAAGUAAAUGGAGUAAUGAAGAAGGAGUAUUGACUCCGCAUUCUUCAGGAAAACCUACAAUCGUUCGCCUGAAGGUUGGAUCUUGGACCUAGUUGGAUAUUCCAACCAGUCAAUGACCACAAACACACAUCGCAUAAAAGGUGGAGAAGAAAUGGCUACAUCAGUCUACAAUUAGGUUUUGGACUAGCUGCCCCAAAGCCCUGACCUUAACUCCAACAAGGACAUCUGGACUAUGCUGAGGCCAACAAAUUUGGUUGAAUUGCAUCAAUUCUGUCAAGAGCAGUGGUCAAAGAUACAACCAGAAGCUUGUGGAUGUCUACCAAAAGUAUGUAAGUGGGGUGAAAGUGGCCAAGAGACAAGUAACUAAAUAUUAGGUUUGCUGUAUGUAUAUUUUUUUACCCAGCAGAAUUUGUCAUAUUUCCAGAAGACAUAAAAUUUAUCUGUGCUUGUUUUAUGUGACAAUGACACAUGUAUUUCAGUGAUUCCAUUAUAGAAAAUGAAGAGCUGUAGGAGCCACUGGAACCUCAAGCCUGCCAUGAUGUACAUGGUCUCUACAAGUGGACAUCUGAAGGGAAAGAAGAAAGUGAGGAGAGAGAUGAUAACAUGCAGCAAAAAGCCUGUACGUUUCAACCUCGGUACAUGAUGUGCACACGACCAGGCACUAACCAAGCGGGACAGAUGCAGCAGGGUGUCAGAGGUCAUCUAACCUGCUCAUAUGACCGGUUUGAGGAGCUUCGAAGGACCGCUCUGACCAGCGAGCUCCUCUUGUGUCAGUCAUCCCGGUGCCCUAAAACUGUCCUAAAUGACUUAAUCUACAGGGCGACAGGGCUCCAGAGAGGCUGACUCUUCAACCGUGACCUUCUACAACGAAACAGUUUGCAUAAAUGAGGCAUAAUUAGACAGAGGGAGAUGUGGCAAAGACAAAGCAGAGGUACAAGGAUCAGCUCCAUCAUCAUUAUUCCACCGCAUCCCCCGAGGAGCGAGACAGAGCCGAGGCCGGUGCCGGGGCCGGACCAGGCUGGGGGAGAAAACACUGUAGAACCAGAGCACCAGGACCUGGGAAUGCACACAAGUGAUAUUUGUGCGAGGAGAUCAAAAAACGUUUACCUUUAGAUGUUUCCCUGAUAUGAAUAUUCAACAUCCUUAUUGAAAUCUAAUUUGGGUCUCCUUGUCUCAGGGGUCUUUUCAUCAGUGCCUGUUGCCUGAGGCCACUGCUGAUUGACAGCCAAACUUUAGUAAAGAGCAAGCAGGAAAAAAGGGGAGAUCUGGUGGUGUUGGAGAUGUGAGCGGUGUGAA
Molecule: long non-coding RNA, 10342 nt
Organism: Amphiprion ocellaris (clown anemonefish)
Lineage: Eukaryota; Metazoa; Chordata; Actinopteri; Pomacentridae
Exons: 8
Source: RefSeq, a predicted model, not a curated record